AGAGGGUUAGUCCAAAUCAAGACCUCUGAUUUCGGCUCAGAAGAUCGUGGUUAGACUCCACGACCCUCUU
This 70-nucleotide transfer RNA is filed under the name Homaloptera confuzona. RNAcentral's name for it is "tRNA-Arg". It matches the Rfam family "tRNA". From Rfam's summary of the family: Transfer RNA (tRNA) molecules are approximately 80 nucleotides in length. Their secondary structure includes four short double-helical elements and three loops (D, anti-codon, and T loops). Lineage: Eukaryota; Metazoa; Chordata; Actinopteri; Cypriniformes; Balitoridae. The record is from RNAcentral.